Molecule: long non-coding RNA, 1168 nt
Filed under: Canis lupus familiaris (dog)
Lineage: Eukaryota; Metazoa; Chordata; Mammalia; Carnivora; Canidae
Description: lncRNA (ENSCAFG00030007240.1)
Source: RNAcentral
GCCGGGGGGGCGGGGAGGGGUGGGGGUGAGGGCGCAGGGGAGGGGGCGCGGCGGAACUCCCCGGACCAGCAACACAGCAAUCAAAAAAAAAAAAAAAAAAAAGAAAAAAGAAAACACCGCAAACAAUAAUAAUAAAUAACCCAAAUUAAGGGUCGGAGAGGCGUCCCACCUUGGUCACUCUUGGAAACCACCUCUUCCUCCCCUCCCCAAAUGCAAAACACAGGGGGUGAGGGUUAAAAAAAAAAAAAAGAAAAAAAAAAAGAAGAAAAACAAAACAAAACAAAACAAGGAUAAAUUCUGCUCGGGAGGAGCAAAAGCGUCUGCGGAGGUCGGGACAGCCAGAGAGGGCUGGAGGGGAAGCCGGAGGUGGAAAGUUCUAACAAGAAGCCUCUUGCCCCAGCAGCCGCCGGGGCUGGGGAAUUCGCAGGAAACUCCUCCUGGCUGUUCCCUGGGUCCCCGGCGUCCUCGCCUCUGCCAGCGCUGGCCCGGGGUCCCCUCGCUUGCCCCCAGUGUCCUCGCUCCCAGCACACUCACACUGCGCUGUGACCCGUCCCACAUCUGACAGUCACAGUGUCGGGGAGCUUCUCAGGGUAGAGGCUGGACGGCCGGGGUGGCCGUGCGACCCCCGCAGUGGCCCUGGGCCCCCAGGGGCUGGAUGCUUUGCUGUCACCGUGUCGGAAUCCAUCCUUGUUAAGGUGCGCGCUUUGCCAUGACGUGGGGCCUGCUGUCCCCCAUCCCCAAACUGAGUCACUAAUGCCAAGCCUUAGGAGCGGAGGUAGGGGAAGUUUGCAAAUGAUAUUCAUUCAUUCAUUCAUUCAUCCACCAGCUGUUUAUUGAGCAGUUACUAUGUGCCAAGCCCCGUUCUAGAUGUUGGAGAGACAGCAGCGAGGAUAGCAAGGUCCGGGGCGGGCAUCACCACCUGGUCGGGAGGCGAAGAGCACCAGGAAGGAGACGGGCAGGGGGGGGGACAGAGGGAUGAGGGCAGGCAGGGGCUGAGUGAUGGCGGUGGUUGAACAGCUGCCUGAGGAGGUGGCCCGGGAAGGCCCCUCUGAGGCGACCAUGGGGCAGAGACCUGAAUGGAGGGGAAGCGAGACCACAGAAAUCCGGGUGAGGGAGCACAGGGGAGGAACUGGGAGUCCCCAGGCAGGACUGUGCUGGGUGUGCGGGA